GACGAACGCUGGCGGCGUGCUUAACACAUGCAAGUCGAACGAAGAGCGAUGGAAGCUUGCUUCUAUCAAUCUUAGUGGCGAACAGGUGAGUAACGCGUAAUCAACCUGCCCUUCAGAGGGGGACAACAGUUGGAAACGACUGCUAAUACCGCAUACGAUCCAAUCUCGGCAUCGGGACUGGAUGAAAGGUGGCCUCUAUUUAUAAGCUAUCACUGAAGGAGGGGAUUGCGUCUGAUUAGCUAGUUGGAGGGGUAACGGCCCACCAAGGCGAUGAUCAGUAGCCGGUCUGAGAGGAUGAACGGCCACAUUGGGACUGAGACACGGCCCAGACUCCUACGGGAGGCAGCAGUGGGGAAUCUUCCGCAAUGGACGAAAGUCUGACGGAGCAACGCCGCGUGAGUGAUGACGGCCUUCGGGUUGUAAAGCUCUGUUAAUCGGGACGAAUGGUUCUUGUGCGAAUAGUGCGAGGAUUUGACGGUACCGGAAGAGAAAGCCACGGCUAACUACGUG
Molecule: ribosomal RNA, 510 nt
Filed under: uncultured bacterium
Lineage: Bacteria
Description: partial 16S ribosomal RNA
Rfam family: Bacterial small subunit ribosomal RNA
Source: RNAcentral